This 352-nucleotide RNase P RNA is filed under the name Cyanophora paradoxa. It matches the Rfam family "Bacterial RNase P class A". Rfam says of the family: Ribonuclease P (RNase P) is a ubiquitous endoribonuclease, found in archaea, bacteria and eukarya as well as chloroplasts and mitochondria. Its best characterised activity is the generation of mature 5'-ends of tRNAs by cleaving the 5'-leader elements of precursor-tRNAs. The record is from RNAcentral. Lineage: Eukaryota; Glaucocystophyceae; Cyanophorales; Cyanophoraceae.
AACGAAUUUAAUUAAUGAUUACAGAUUUAUUCAAUCUGAGGAAAGUCCGGGCUCCUUAAAGGUUAGAAUUGCUGGGUAAUUCCCAGUACGAGAUAUCGUGAGGAUAGUGCCACAGAAAAACACCGCUUAAAAAUAUUUUAAGUAAGGGUGCAAAGGCUUGGUUAAAGCAAACCAGUUAGAUUUCAAAAUCUAUACUUAGUAAACCCCGUUCAGGAGCAAAGUUUAGCGGAAAGUAAUUAACCUUUUUUCUUUCCUUAUAUUUAUUUUUUACUGCUAGAAAAAUUGAGUAAUUAAUUUUGAAGACAGAUAAUCAUUUUAUAAACAAAACCCGGCUUAAAAUUAAGUUCGUUUU